Molecule: non-coding RNA, 2897 nt
Organism: Triticum urartu
Lineage: Eukaryota; Viridiplantae; Streptophyta; Magnoliopsida; Poales; Poaceae
Source: RefSeq, a predicted model, not a curated record
GUUUGGGUUUGGGUUUGGAUUUGGAUUUGGACCCGCCGCCGAUUUGUUUGGUCUGGAUCCGCCGCCGCCGGCGACGGCUGCGGCGGACCGGAUCCGUUCAGUCUUCGGGGCGCGCCGUCUAGAUCCGCCGCCCCCCCUCUCUCGUUCCCCUCAUCCACAACCCCCUCCGCGCCGUACCUCGGCGUCGCCACCGACCCCUCGACCGCGCUACAACGCCACGGCCCCCGCCGCGCCGUACCUCGGCGUCGCCGCCGACUCCUCGACCGCGCUCCGACCCCACGGCCCCCGCUCUCCCUCGCCGGGACAUCGCGUUCCGUGCUGCUGCGACUCCGCCCGGCCCCAGUUGCCGGCCGUUGGGCUCUGAGGUCACUCUUGCAAAAGGCGGCCGCCGCCUUGGAUGACGGCAACAACGACCUGUCAGGCAGCUCCACUCGCCCUCCCCCACUGCGGCAAGAGCAGCACCGGCCACAAGGCCGCGCCCUCCAAGUCCAGCAAGGCGGACGGGUUGAGUGAUAUCCCAAAGAACCUCAGGGAGCUGCUCACCACCAGCUUGCUCGAGGGCCAGCCCGUCAACUACAUGAGGAAAGGGAAGUGACCAGUACUCCGUGGAGUCAUUAAAGGCUUAGGCAUAUCGUGCUCUUGCACUUCAUGUAAAGGCCGAAAUGUUGUUUCAUCUUUUUAUUUCGAGGUGCCUGCUGGGAGUCAUAAAAAGCGCCCCACUGAUUAUAUUUUCCUGGAAAUUGGAAAUACUCUGCAUGAUGUAUUGAGGGUGUGCACAGGUGCUACCUUAGACACACUGGAAUCUGCAGUACAGGGAGCAAUAGGCCCAGUGCCUAAGAAGAGGACAUUUUUCUGGUUCUUCAUGUUAGCAAUGGCUAUUUCCAUUUAAGUUCCCUUGGCUUCUUCAUUCUUGCUGUGAAGUAAUGACAGAAACAGUUGUUUGAGGGUUGGCCUGUUGAUUGUGUAACCAAUGAUACAUCCAAGUUAUGAGUGGUAUUGGCUCUGAGGGUUGGCAUUUGUGCAGGAAUCAUUUGAUCUAUUAUCCAAGCUACGACCGGGCGAGACCUUAUUCCAGCCAUGGUCUACGGGAGGAGCGUAAGGGAUCAAGAUUAAUAAGGGAUGUACUGAAGCGUAGGAUCUUCUCAGGGCUCCAGAAUUUUGACCGGAGUAAUGUUGCAUCUAUUGUCAUGGCUGCAGAUAAGUGCCUCGUGGGCGGAGCACCUUCAGCACGUCGCCAUCGUCUUCAACGAGCUUCGAGCGCGCCAUCUUCACCUUAAGCGCUCGAAGUGCUCGUUCGGCACGCCUUCGGUCGCCUACCUCGGCCACGUCAUCUUGGCCGAGGGUGUCGCUAUGGAUGCCGACAAGGUGGCGGUUGUCGUGUCCUGGCCGAUGCCGCACUCGCCGCGGGCACUACGAGGCUUCCUGGGCCUCGCGGGGUACUACCGAAAAUUCAUCUGGGAGUUUGGCCUCAUCGCAUCCCCGCUCACGCGCCUGUUGCGCCGCGACGCCUUCGCCUGGGAUGCUGAGGCGACCGAGGCGUUCGAGGGCCUCAAGCGGGCUCUCACUAAGGGUCCGGUCCUCCAGAUGCCCGACUUCGACAAGCCGUUCAUGGUGGACUGCGACGCCUCAGGCGUGGGGUCUGGCGCCGUCCUUCAUCAGGGUGACGGGCCGCUUGCGUUCUUCAGCAGGCCCUUCGCCGUGCGCCAUCAUAAGCUCACGGCCUAUCAGAUGGAGCUCAUUGGCUUGGUGCAGGGCGUGCGCCACUAGUGGUCGUAUCUCUGGGGGAGGCCGUUCCGUAUCCACAUGGAUCACUACAGCCUCAAGUUCUUAUUGGACCAGAGGCUCUCCACCGUGCCGCAGCAUCAGUUGAUCAGCAAACUCUUUGGCUUCGACUUCACUGUCGAGUAUCGCCCGAGUCGCCUCAACAACGUGGCCGAUGCCCUGUCCCGCCGCGACCCCGACCCUGACUCGGACGCCAUCUCCCCCGCGGGGGCGGCCCUCUGCAUCCGUUCGGGGCCCUCCUUCGCCCUCAUUGACGACAUCCGCCGGCAUUAGAGCACCUGUGACACAGCCUGAUGUUCAGAAUCUUAAGAUGGCCUUGUCUUCUAUCACGAAUGGCACUGAAUUAGAGAAUGUUCUGGACAAAUCAAGCAGCGCAGCAGCAAACACAGUAAAGAAGAAAGGCCAGAAAAUUAAUAACCAUCCAGGAAAUUGCAUUGAAAAGGGUCUGACAAAGAAGCAGAAAGUGCACUCCGAAGAGCCUACAGUGCAAUAUGGUUUGAUAGAUGAUCUUGUCAAGUCUGGAAAUGCUAUUUCAGGGCUUGGAGGCUCCUCCAAACAUUAUCAUGUCUGAAAUGGGCAGCCAAGCUCCAGCCUAUAAAGCUUACAUGGGGACUGACUUUUCAAAUCCUAUGGGGACAAUCAACUAUGAAGAGAUGCACUCUGUCGCAAGCCUGGGUUUCACUCUGGAACUAGGCUUUGUCGCCUGUCAUGCUACUCAGGCGUCUAGUGACAUCCAACAAUAUGUCUAAAAUAAAUUAUACAGUGAUAUGUAGUUACCUCUUGACCCUGCCAUGUUUAUUUCCUUCUUUUGCGUAAAGGCCUAGUAGAAAUCUGAAAGCUCUCUCUUCGGAGCACAAUGAAUGAGAAUGGAAAUCCGUAUAAGGCAAUGAGAAGCUGUAUAUGGAGCACAAUCCAUGGGAUUGAAGGCUUCUUAUGAUGUCUACACAUUGUCCAUCAACUGUAUAUGGCAAUUAGAAGCUGCACAGAUGGGCUUAUACUUAAUUGCUUUCUCCCUGUGUCAAGACAUGCCAUUGUGUAUCUUCUCUGAUUGUUGAAAAUGGCUUCAUGUGCAGGUACUCUACAUAUGAUUUGAAAAUCGUUGCGCCUCGAUGAUU